Non-coding RNA from Xylogone sp. PMI_703, 123 nucleotides. The record is from the annotation of a GenBank genome assembly. NCBI's taxonomy places the organism in Eukaryota, Fungi, Ascomycota, Leotiomycetes.
GGGCGCUUGGUUUAGUGGUAUAAUGUUCGCUUUGCAUUCUGAGGAGUUUGACCAGAAUCUUCUAGUUCUAAUUCAUGAAUACAUUGUUGCGAAAGGUCGCUGGUUCGAUUCCUGCAGUGUCCA